GCCCAGCUGGCUUAGUCGGUAGAGCAUGUGACCCUUGAUCUCCGGGUUGUGGGUUCGAGCCCCAUGUUGGGUG
Odobenus rosmarus divergens (Pacific walrus) is the source of this 73-nucleotide non-coding RNA. The record is from the annotation of a RefSeq genome assembly. NCBI's taxonomy places the organism in Eukaryota, Metazoa, Chordata, Mammalia, Carnivora, Odobenidae.